Molecule: ribosomal RNA, 449 nt
Filed under: uncultured bacterium
Lineage: Bacteria
Description: partial 16S ribosomal RNA
Rfam family: Bacterial small subunit ribosomal RNA
Source: RNAcentral
AACGAACGCUGGCGGCAUGCCUAACACAUGCAAGUCGAACGAGACCUUCGGGUCUAGUGGCGCACGGGUGCGUAACGCGUGGGAAUCUGCCCUUGGGUUCGGAAUAACAGUUAGAAAUGACUGCUAAUACCGGAUGAUGACGUAAGUCCAAAGAUUUAUCGCCCAAGGAUGAGCCCGCGUAGGAUUAGCUAGUUGGUAAGGUAAAGGCUUACCAAGGCGACGAUCCUUAGCUGGUCUGAGAGGAUGAUCAGCCACACUGGGACUGAGACACGGCCCAGACUCCUACGGGAGGCAGCAGUGGGGAAUAUUGGACAAUGGGCGAAAGCCUGAUCCAGCAAUGCCGCGUGAGUGAUGACGGCCUUCGGGUUGUAAAGCUCUUUUGUCCGGGAAGAUAAUGACUGUACCGGAAGAAUAAGCCCCGGCAAACUUCGUGCCAGCAGCCGCUGUAA